CCUACGGGAGGCAGCAGUAGGGAAUCUUUCACAAUGGGUGAAAGCCUGAUGGAGCAACGCCGCGUGCAGGAUGAAGGCCUUCGGGUUGUAAACUGCUUUUAUAAGCGAGAAAUAUGAUGGUAACUUAUGAAUAAGGAUCGGCUAACUACGUGCCAGCAGCCGCGGUCAUACGUAGGAUCCGAGCAUUAUCCGGAGUGACUGGGUGUAAAGAGUUGCGUAGGUGGCCUAAUAAGUAGCUAGUGAAAUCUGGUGGCUCAACCAUUCAGACUAUUAGCUAAACUGUUAAGCUCGAGACCGUUAGGGGUAAGUGGAAUUUCUAGUGUAGGAGUGAAAUCCGUAGAUAUUAGAAGGAACACCAAUAGCGUAGGCAGGUUGCUGGGACGGUUCUGACACUAAGGCACGAAAGCGUAGGGAGCAAACGGGAUUAGAUACCCCAGUAGUC
RNAcentral lists this ribosomal RNA (442 nucleotides) under uncultured bacterium. RNAcentral's name for it is "partial 16S ribosomal RNA". It matches the Rfam family "Bacterial small subunit ribosomal RNA", at positions 338 to 795 of the family's 1533-position model. The record is from RNAcentral.